RNAcentral lists this ribosomal RNA (500 nucleotides) under uncultured bacterium. Its description in RNAcentral is "partial 16S ribosomal RNA". It matches the Rfam family "Bacterial small subunit ribosomal RNA", at positions 29 to 523 of the family's 1533-position model. The record is from RNAcentral.
AUUGAACGCUGGCGGCAUGCCUUACACAUGCAAGUCGAACGGCAGCACGGGGGCAACCCUGGUGGCGAGUGGCGAACGGGUGAGUAAUACAUCGGAACGUGCCCAGUAGUGGGGGAUAGCCCGGCGAAAGCCGGAUUAAUACCGCAUACGACCUACGGGUGAAAGCGGGGGAUCGCAAGACCUCGCGCUAUUGGAGCGGCCGAUGUCAGAUUAGGUUGUUGGUGAGGUAAAGGCUCACCAAGCCGACGAUCUGUAGCUGGUCUGAGAGGACGACCGGCCACACUGGGACUGAGACACGGCCCAGACUCCUACGGGAGGCAGCAGUGGGGAAUUUUGGACAAUGGGGGCAACCCUGAUCCAGCCAUGCCGCGGGCGGGAAGAAGGCCUUCGGGUUGUAAACCGCUUUUGUCAGGGAAGAAAUCUUCUGAGCUAAUACCUCGGGAGGAUGACGGUACCUGAAGAAUAAGCACCGGCUAACUACGUGCCAGCAGCCGCCGUAA